RNAcentral lists this non-coding RNA (63 nucleotides) under unclassified sequences. RNAcentral describes it as "RAGATH-18 RNA". It matches the Rfam family "RAGATH-18 RNA". Rfam says of the family: Actinobacteria, Firmicutes, Fusobacteria, Thermotogae (1 example). Nearby to self-cleaving ribozyme genes The record is from Rfam by way of RNAcentral.
CCUGUGGAGCGUCAUAAAAAAACGCGAGUAGCUUCGGCAAAAGCGGACGCGACGAAGUAGGAA